CACAACUUUAUCUCAACUCGUCAGGUCAACUGGUCGACUGAUUUUUGGCAGUUAAAACUGAAGCUCUUUCUCUCUUUGUGUUCUCAUCAAACAAGAAACAAGCAAUGUCCUCAAAGCGCCCAGCUUGCUUUUCCCAGCUAGAAGAAUACGCUAAAAAGACACAGCCCGGCGAGGUCCUCACCACCACGCAUGGCAAUCCAAUCGAUUUCAAGACAGCCAUCCAGACCUUUGGCCCUCGGGGGCCUAUGCUAAUGCAAGAUGGUGUCUAUUUGGACGAGAUGGCUCAUUUUGACAGAGAGAGGAUACCGGAGAGAGUGGUACACGCCAAAGGAGCAGGUGCUUAUGGUGUAUUUGAAGUGACGCACGACAUCACAAAGUAUUGUUGUGCCAAGCUAUUCUCAGAAGUAGGGAAGAAGACAGAUUUGUUUAUCCGUUUCUCUACAGUUGGUGGAGAGAGUGGCAGUGCUGAUACUGCAAGGGAUCCUCGUGGCUUUGCCGUAAAGUUUUACACCGAAGAUGGAAACUGGGAUUUAGUUGGUAACAACACACCGAUAUUCUUCAUCAGGGAUCCUUUCCUUUUCCCAAGCUUCAUUCACACUCAGAAGCGUAAUCCUGUUACUCAUCUUAAGGAUCCUGACAUGUUUUGGGAUUUCAUCAGUCUGAGGCCCGAGACCACUCAUCAGGUUUCAUUCCUCUUCUCUGAUCGUGGUAUCCCUGAUGGCUAUCGUCACAUGAAUGGCUAUGGCUCUCACACUUUUAAACUUGUAAAUAGCAAAGGAGAGCCAGUCUAUUGCAAGUUCCAUUACAAAACCGAUCAAGGUAUAAAGAACAUGCCUGUUGGCAAGGCUGCUGAACUUGCUGGAACAAACCCUGACUAUUCCAUUCAGGAUCUUUAUGAGGCAAUCGCCACUGGAAACUUUCCAUCAUGGACUCUCUCAAUUCAAGUGAUGACGUACGAACAAGCAGAGAAGUGCAGCUUCAAUCCUUUUGACUUGACAAAAGUGUGGCCACAUGCUGAUUACCCCUUGAUCCCUGUUGGUAAGAUAACGCUGAACAGAAAUCCUUCCAAUUACUUCUUUGAUGUUGAGCAGUCUGCAUUCUCUCCUGCUCACAUGCCACCAGGCAUUGAAGCAUCGCCCGAUAAAAUGUUGCAGGGUCGUCUGUUUUCUUACGAUGAUACUCAUUUUCACCGUCUUGGUCCAAACUUUCAAAUGAUCCCCGUCAACUGUCCUUACGCUGGAAAGCCUCGUAACUAUGUUCGUGAUGGGCCUAUGUGCGUUGAUGGAAACCAAGGUGGAGCUCCCAACUAUUAUCCCAACAGUUUCAAUGGGCCAAAGGAUAUGGGAAAACAUGACGUUACAAUUUUCCCUGGACCUGCUGGUGAUGUGAAGCGCUAUAAUGCUGCAGAUGAUGACAAUUUCUCUCAAGUUGGUAUCUUUUACAAUAAAGUACUCAAUGAGGAGGAGAGGACACGUCUUGCUCAAAACAUUGCUGGUCAUAUGAAGAAUGCCAGUCCAAAGAUUCAGGAGCGUGCUGUGAGUAUAGCAACCCCCCCUCUCUCUCUCUCUUUUUACCCUCUCUUUCUCUCUCCUUUCUUAGAUUGCCAACUUCUCUAAGGCUGAUCCUGAUUAUGGCGCUCGCAUUAAGAAGUACAUCUCUCAAUAAAACUGCUACAUUGAAGAUCUCUGCUGAAUUGAAUUGAACUACAAUAAAGAACACUAACACUUUAUUAUUAUUAUGUUUUUUGUUUGUGUGCUUGUCUUGCAAUCUUGCUGCACCUUUACUUGUUAAUUUAGCUUUCAGAUUUUCUUUUUGGUAGAUAUAAAA
RNA transcript from Amphimedon queenslandica, 1827 nucleotides. It is a transcript of the gene named catalase-like, with no coding region annotated. The record is from RefSeq and is a predicted model, not a curated record. The transcript is spliced from 14 exons. NCBI's taxonomy places the organism in Eukaryota, Metazoa, Porifera, Demospongiae, Haplosclerida, Niphatidae.